AUAAGUCUUCUGCAGCUUUGUGAAUAUGGAAUACUUCAUCUCUAAAGAGAGCCAAGCAGGAGCUGCUUUGAAGUGCAAGUUUCCAAAGGUUCAAAGCUGUCGCAUCACUAUUUAGGACUCCAUGGCACAAAAUAAAUCCAAAAAUAAUCCAUUUUUCCAUUGCAUCCAGAGAGAGGUAUUCACAUGGCAUCGUGUCAGACUGUGCAGGGUUAAGCAUUGUACUAGGUGCACUGAUGAGGCUCAGUAGUUGUGCGUUUCUCCACUGGUCAGCCGAGAGAUUUCUUCGAGGAUAGACCAUCUGGAGUGAAAUCAGAGCAUCCGAAAGGGAUUUACUGUGGGGUACAAAUUCCUCCAUCAUUUUCUUUAAAGGGUUUUCAUAAUCCACAAUCAUCUGGCCAAGGCGUGGAUAUUCUCUGUCACUCGCUCCAUGUGUCAUUUCAUGAGCAUAGUUAUACAAUCCAAUGAUAGCCUUCCUUUCUUCAAUUCGAGACAGCAGUAUCAUUAGUGUAGUGUAGGUUAUAAUCAAGUCCAGGUAGUUCUUCGUCAAAUCAAAGUUUACAGUAAUAUCAAAGAAGACUUGGCAAACAUCAAUAGUGUUCAGCAGCUCGCAAACAUGGUCCUUAAAUUCCAUAACAUCAACAAACGUGAAGUAGUACAACGCCAGGUUCUUCAAAAUCUCUGACUUCUCUUUCUGUAGCUGAGCAAGCUGUUGAUUGUUGUUGCGUGUUUCUACCGCUGGAAACUUCCUGACUAUGAAUUUGACUGCAGAUUCCAGGUUUUUGUCAAUAAGAUAGGAUGGUUUGGCUUUGGGGUCUCCACAUGCCUUCUUGAUGUUGUAGAGCCGGGUGAGCAUGCCGACGCCCCGGUCGUUUAGGAUGGUCAGCUUCUCGGCCAGCUUCUGCUGGCUCGGCUGAAGCACGGACCGCGACAUCCUGCCCCGCGCCGCGCCCCCGGCCCGGACCCCGCCGCCGCCGCCGCCGCUCGCAGCCCCGCCGUGGCGCGGCCGCCGGCCCGGCGCUGCCUCCCCGCCGCCGCCGCCGUUCUCGCUCGCUGCCUCCGCGGGGCGUGGCCACGGCGCGGCC
This 1082-nucleotide long non-coding RNA is filed under the name Gallus gallus (chicken). The record is from RNAcentral. Lineage: Eukaryota; Metazoa; Chordata; Aves; Galliformes; Phasianidae.